This is a long non-coding RNA of Chroicocephalus ridibundus (black-headed gull), 712 nucleotides long. RefSeq lists it as uncharacterized. NCBI's taxonomy places the organism in Eukaryota, Metazoa, Chordata, Aves, Charadriiformes, Laridae. The record is from RefSeq and is a predicted model, not a curated record. The transcript has 3 exons.
CUGACAGAGGUUGUGGAAAUGCUUUUAAUGAAGAUAGGUGGAAGAAAACAUACAGGAAAGUGAAUUAUCACGUUGUUUUUCUUUUUGAAUAAAGGCAGGGAGAAGAUGACUGCUGUCUUCCCCUUCUGCUCUCCAUCUCCUUGGCUUCUUAGCAGAGAAAAGCCUCACCAGGGGCCACUGAGCCCCGUGCUCUGGGGAGACUGAGAACAAGCUCCCCGUAGUGCCAUGUGAGCGCUGCCCCGGGAGCCCCUGCUCCGCUCUUGGCCCUUUUCCGUGGCUCGUGCUCCAUCAGUGUGUGGCCAAGUCCAGCCUGCGGCACCGACUGCUCCCCACGAUGCCUCCAGACACCAAGGGAGCUGUGAAGCAGCCAGGCUGGGACCAACCGCUGGUUUCGGCAGUCCCGUGCUGCUCUCCUGUGUCUUCAUCGCUGCCAGUUCCUAAAAGGAGGCAAAAGGAGGUACACGGAGCCUUGCCCGCGGCCAAAGCGUGUCUCACCCUGUAGCAGAGACAGAGACGUGUCAGGGCCCUCGGGGGCCAGUGGGGAGCGGUGCCAAGGCCAGGAAGAGGACACAAGCCCUGCCCAGCCAUGACCUGAGACCUGGCUUGCAUGAGACAAAGUCUCUCUAGGCCAUUUUGGAUUCCCAGUGUGAAACUUCUGCUUGAUCAUAAAUAAAGCUCGAGAAGCCUCAUUCAUCGAAAGAGAAGCUUUGUU